AGAGUUUGAUCCUGGCUCAGGAUGAACGCUGGCGGCGUGCUUAACACAUGCAAGUCGAACGGACGCUUUGGGAAACUGAAGCGUUAGUGGCAAACGGGUGCGUAACACGUGGGUGACCUACCCCAAAGUGGGGAACAACGGACCGAAAGGUUCGCUAAUACCGCAUUAGCUCAGUCCUUCAUUGGGUUGAGUAAAGCCGCAAGGCGCUUUGGGAGGGGCCCGCGGCCCAUCAGGUAGUUGGUGAGGUAAUGGCCCACCAAGCCGAUGACGGGUAGCUGGUCUGAGAGGACGAUCAGCCACACUGGCACUGAGAUACGGGCCAGACUCCUACGGGAGGCAGCAGUGAGGAAUAUUGCGCAAUGGGGGAAACCCUGACGCAGCGACGCCGCGUGGGCGACGAAGGCCCUCGGGUCGUAAAGCCCUUUUGGCAGGGACGAGUGAGGACGGUACCUGCCGAAUAAGUCUCGGCUAACUACGUGCCAGCCGCCGCGGUAAUUC
Molecule: ribosomal RNA, 498 nt
Filed under: uncultured bacterium
Lineage: Bacteria
Description: bacterial SSU rRNA
Rfam family: Bacterial small subunit ribosomal RNA
Source: RNAcentral